CUCUUACCAUCUCCCUAUUUCUUUACUCUCUCUCUCUCUGUAGUUAGAGAGUAGAAAGACGGCACCGGCCUUUCAGUGCCUCUAAACCUUAUCAUCUCUUCUCUCUCUCUGUCCCCCCUCCAUUAAUCCUCCACCCCUUCUCCAUGGAGCUUGAGAGACUAGCUAGGUACUCCUAUCUAGGGUUUUGCUUCUGCUGCAAUCCCCCCCCCCCCCCCUCUUGUUCUAGCGAGGGAGGGCGGGCCUUAUAUAUCCCUAGCUAGCUAUCCAUCUUGCCUAGAUGUAGCCAGCCAACCCCCUCAUCUCCCUCUUAAGCUAUGUGAGGUGGUCAUGCCAAGUGCCAACCAAUCCUCACCUUCUUCAUCCACAAACUUCUCUAGAUAUACUCAUGUAGAUCAAUCGUCUCAUCCCCGGCCCCUUCUUCACCGGCGGUGACUGCGGCGCGCGUUGAAAGAUACAUAGAUCGUGCAAUCCGGUUCUUGAUCCUUCGGUUCUAUAUCAUCUCCUGCCUUUGCUAUCUAUCUACAACUCAAGCUCGCAUCCCUGCCCCCUGUUGUUUUGUUAGAUGCAUGCUUCUCGUCCUCGAUCGGUACGUAUGUAUGCAUUCCUCUUCUUGAUCCAAAGUCUCAUUUGUACAUAUGUAUGCACAUAUCGAUCCAAACAUAUAGGUGUGGGAUCCCCUUCUUUCCUCUUCAUGAGGUUCUUUAAUUAGAUGCAUGUAUAGAUCUCCAUCUGUGAUACAUCUUCCUUGCCGGAUCACCUUGGAAGCUAUAGCUAGAGGAAUAUAUGCCGACGCAAGCAGUCGCUGAGAUGAAGCAAACAGUCGGUGCUUGCAGGUGCAGCAGCAUCAAGAUUCACAUCGAACUCAUCUUGAGAGGUGUGGUUUACAGUUGCUAUAAAUGAAUAUAUGAUGAGAAUCUUGAUGAUGCUGCAUCAGCAAACACUCACUCAUCGAUCACUUGAAGGGUGAGAAAAUCUCUGGUGCAAUUGUGUUCUAGCAGUCCUUUUUUGCUUUUACUUUGGUUAUUUUCACUUGAAUUACUAUCUCUUUGCACAUUGUUUUCACCUUGCAAAUAUGCACAAGUCCUAGUUCUAAUUCAUGGGGCUGAGGUUGGACCUAAAAAGAAGUGCCACCAAUGCUGUGAUUUCCUUCUCCUCUUCUUCGCUAACUCUAUUUCAAUUGGCACGAAGUCUUUAUUCUCAAGGCUGGCUGGCAGUGCCAGGUGAGUAUCUUGGUUUUGUGUGGUUCAUUGCCGGUUGGGGAGAAUACUUGACGAUUAAGGGGACACCAUGAUUUUAUGGUGUAUUAUGAGUUUAAUUAUUGCAAGAUCCCUUUCUGCGGCAGGAAGAUGGAAGCACACAUGCAUCAGUUCUCUUGGCAUCAUGAUGUGCACACUUGUUCAGUAAUUUUGAGGGCCAGGCUGCAUGCUAGCUGCAGCCAUGGGAAUAUCAAACACAAGGAGCUAGUGGAUGCGUCAUGAGCAGUGCUUGUUUCAUCAUCAAGCGAGGAAUCACUGGCUGGCUGGCUAGAUUGUUCAAUUCAAGUGGACCUUGCAGAGAGGGUCGGGCAGGAACGUAGUACAUGCUAUUAUGGUGCUAAGGGAAGGGGACCAAACAAUAUAGUGCAGCAUGCAGAGUGAUGCACCAGCAGCAGCUGCUGUGGGACGACAAACCUUGCAGACUGGUGGUACAACCUACUGUCUCAAAUUAAAGGUGAAAAUUUCCAUCUCACUUUACUUAUUACUUUGCCUUGCUUUCUGCAGGCUACAAACUGCAGCUCUGAUGUGGUGCUUUUCUUUAGUUUCAAUUCAUUGCAUAAAUAUAUAGUCGGCAAAUUAGAUCAUUGCUAAGUAUGGUGGGCCAGCUAAUACACACGGUGAGUCUAUUCUGCGAUUAGGUGUAACUGCAGUCACCUUUGCGCCACCCUCAAAUUACGAUUAAGAAAAUAGUUAGUUACAACGGUAUAGAUAGUUGAGUUACAAUCACAUGAUAAAAAGUAUAUGAUUACAAUUAGAUUAGGUACCGAAUUACGAUCAUAUAUAUUUGUAACAACUGACAUAUCUUGUGGAUCACAAUCAUACUCUUUUAUGACUGUAAUUAGAGAUGUGCGCAGAGAUGAACAAGUUACGAUCACAUGAUAAAAAAUACAUAUUACGACUAGAGAAGAUACCGAGUUACGGUCAUAUAUAUUUGCAGUAACUGAUCCAUCUUGUAGAUUGUAAUUAUACUAUUUUUAGGAUCGUAAUUGAGAAUGUAUGCAUAGGUGAACUACAUUGCGCAUAGGCACAUAAUACGCACACACAAAUGCUAUUCUACAUCCUAGGUGUAGUAUAUUAUUCUACACAUACUGAAUAAAAUUUCAAUACUACCGAACAAAAUUACAGUAGUAAAAUACGUUUCAGUAGUUACUACCGAAAUCUUGUUCAGUAGGUGUAGAAUAGUACGCUACACCAUAUGUGUAAAAUAGCACUAUUGUACACACACGCACGCGCGCGCACACACAUAUACACACACACGACGAGUCUAUUUAGCGCCUAGGCGCAACAGUGACCUACAUUACAUCACCCUCAGUUGUUGCAGCCACCUUUGCACCACCCCAUUUACGACUAAGAAAGUAGUUAGUUACGACGGCACAUAUAUGUGAGUUACGAUCACAUGAUAAAAAAAUAUAAUUAUAAGAAGCAUUGUAGUUUACUGCUGUACUACCCUCAGUUACGACUAAGAAAAUACUAGUCAGUUACAACAUCACAGAUAGUUGAGUUACGAUCAUAUGAAAAAAAGUCAGUUACAAUAUUAACUAUUUUGCUUUUUGGAUCGUAACUAGGAUGUGCGCAGAGGUGAUCCAGUUAUGAUCACAGUUACGACUAAGAAAAUAAUCAGUUACGACAGCACAUAUAGUUGAGUUAUGAUCACAUGACAAAAAAUCAAUUACGAUAGCAAUUAUACUGCUUUUGGGAUCGUAACUGCGGGUGUGGCAGAGGUGACCUAAUUGUGAUCACAUGAUUAAAAAAACAUAAUUAUGACUAUAUAAGGUAUCUCGUUACGACCAUAUAUGUUUGUAGUAACUGAUCUAUCUUGUGAGUCGUAACUAUAUUGUCUUUUUUAUUGUAACUGUGGGAUGACGCAACAGUAAAUACAAUGCAACUAGACACAUAAUAUAUAUAUAUAUAUAUAUAUAUAUGCCUUAAAUAGCUUGAUCAAGGGAAAAAUAGGAGCGUGCAUCGGAAAUUUUCUGAGAUUGAAAUGAGAAAUGCUGCAAAGUAGCUAGGCUAAGUAUGAAAAAUUGGAGAAAAAACUCAAAUACAGUUUAUAAUUCUGCAUGAAUUAACCUGUACAUGCGUCGUCAUUGAAUAAAUUGUACUAUAGCAGGUUUUGAAAUUAAUAGCAUGUGUGAGUACUUUUACUGCAUUGAGCGCAUUUACAUGAAUUUGUAGCUAGUUCCACUUCCACCAUGCUUUGAUGGCCUGCAUAUGUAAAUACUUCAGAGAAGAAGUACUAUAUAUUUGAACACAAACUGUGGAGUUUUUACUGCAUGUGCAUGCAUGCAAUUGAAUUGUUUCAGUGCCAGUACUAUCUUGCCGCCGGCGUGUAAACCUGAGUACGUACAUGCUGCAUGCCUGCAACUGCAACCUGAUCUCACUGGCCUGCCAUACGCAGAUAUUGCUCGAUAGCUCCCCCAUUUAGACUGAUCAGAUUGGCUACUGCCUGAUGCACAAUCGCUGCUGCUGUCGUCUGAUGAAAACUUGAGGCUUACGUGAGCACAUCGAUCUCAUAACCAUAAAAGCAAAUACUUGAUUCAUGCAGAGAUAUCUAUCUGCCUCUGCACAAUUAGGAGAUCAUCAAUUUACGUACUUGCAUGCAGUGUCAUAUAUAGAUGCUUUCAUUAUUAACUGGCAGAUUUACUGAUCCAAGCGGUGAAGCUUGCAGCAGCUAGCAUAUGAUCGAAUGAGUGAUAUGAGAAGAAAAAUGCAUGAGGCCGGUGUGGUCGAUGGAUGGAUCUAUGUAUCACGAGCAGCGGCGGUUUGCAUUCAUGCUGGACCAUGCGUACGUGCAUUAUGCAUAUACAUGCCCAUAAAGCUGCGUACGUGCAUGUGGUGGGCGAUCGAUCGGACGGUCGUGUUGGUCCCGUGCCGUGCGUACCUGACGGGCAAUAAGGUUGAUGCCGCCUGUAAUUGUAUCAUUUUGCAGUGCAGUCUGCAGUGCCGGUCACACCAGCACAGCAAUGUACGGACGGGCGUGUCCUAUACGGUUUGGUGAGGUUUGGUCUUGGUGCUCUUCACAUGAAGUGAUUGUUCAAGCUCUAAAAUGAUGGUGUACCAGUUUAAAAUUCACUGAUCCGGAGUGAAAGAUUACCACUAGAGAUCAUUUGGUCUCUUGUGCAAAUCAAGAGGGAGCUGCACCCUUGCAUAGAAGACUACCACUAGAGAUCUGGAGUGGAAGACUACCACUAGAGAUUAUUUGGUCACUUGUACAGAUCAAGAGGGAGCUAAGGUCUUGUAUGGGUGCUUCAACGAGUAUUAGAGAGAGCUUCAACUCCUCGAUAUUUUAAAAAAUCAAGUCUUCCUAUCUCCUUUUACAUUGAGCAAUUUAUUUCUAACAUUUAAUUUCUUGUAAUUUUCUUUAUUAGGGUUGUCAUGAUACAGUAGAGUGGGAACAUGAUUGAGCUUCCGAUUGAUUCAC
Phragmites australis (common reed) is the source of this 4677-nucleotide long non-coding RNA. RefSeq lists it as uncharacterized. Lineage: Eukaryota; Viridiplantae; Streptophyta; Magnoliopsida; Poales; Poaceae. The transcript is spliced from 2 exons. The record is from RefSeq and is a predicted model, not a curated record.